Molecule: long non-coding RNA, 2585 nt
Filed under: Nicotiana benthamiana
Lineage: Eukaryota; Viridiplantae; Streptophyta; Magnoliopsida; Solanales; Solanaceae
Description: long non-coding RNA (NBEN_LNC020896)
Source: RNAcentral
UCAUUUCCAGGUGAUCGUGGCCCGGGUAUAAGCAAAGAAAGCAUACAAUAAUCUGCCUUCAUGCACAUCCAAGGAGGCAAAUUAUACACCAUUAAAAUAACUGGCCAUAUGCUAUGAGAUAUGUAGUGAAGCAGGACACUGCAGGUUUCAACUGGACAAAUGCAACGAGCUUAGAAACUGUUACAUAUUUAUUCUAUACGACAACGCAUUUGUCAACGACGAUCAGCAGUGCUGUCUACAUUUGAGUUCUUUGACAAAUGAGCAGCAUGUACAAAUCUUAAGGGAGGAGUACAUGGUGCUAUAUGUUUUCUCUAACAUGUGCUCCUUUUUUGCAGGACAAGAUCUAGCAUAUAUAUAUUGCCUUCUGGUGGAGUCUCAAAUGGUGGUAUUAGUGCUAUGCACUCAACCCAUUGAAAGGAAGUCAAGGGCAGGCAUGUAUGCAACUACAAGGCAGGGUACUAACUUGUACAAAGGCAGCAGAUGCAGAGUUCACUGGCAAAUUGCAGUCCAAACAACUAAUCCCAGAUCGAACUGGACAAUAUGGAUUAGAGGACAAAGUUGGAGGCAAUGGGAGUAUAUUGGAUAUAGGGAUUCAAGCAGAAGUGCAUUCCUAGCAAAUAUGGGACAACUCAAGGAGCAGUAUGGGGCAAGAAGUACGGGCAAUGUCACAAAUAAGCAUCCCAGGAAAAUCUGCAUUUGGACCACUAAAUGACUAUUCCUUUUUUAUAUACAAUACAAUGGUUUCAAUGCAACUUUCGAUGUGAGGGACUUAACUAUUGGUCAACAAAGCAGAAAAUACAAUAAAUUACCAGCAAUUGGACCAAUAAUUGCUCAGGCGUGGGUGCAAAUGCAUAGAAGGCUAGUCCAAAGUCAGGAGUUCCCAAGAUGCCCAGGUCUGAAUGAGGAAGUGUUUUUGUGGCAUCAAGGUAGUUUAACUGGACAUACAACAAUUUGGAACAAAAGCAAAAUGCAUUACCUGAAAAGUGUUGAGCAAAGGAGUCAAUUGGCAAAUGCUUUACCUGAAAACCUGCAGGUCCAACGCAGCUUUUUACACACUUUGGUAAAUGAAAGCAGGCUGCUAUCUAUUUGGUUAGUGUGCUGUGUUAACUUGAGGACUAGAGAGAGAAGCCAUACAAUUUGCGCAAUGCAAAUGUUGCUCGCGAUGAGGCAGGGGAUUUCAAUGAACCAAACGAAUAUUUUGACAAGUAGGAAUGGAGCUAGGACAUCAUUUGUAGCAAGAAGGAUAUACAAAGAAGAGGAAUGGGUACGACAACACCAGCUUAAUGCUUGGAACACGCCAGAGAUUACAGUGCAAAAACACAGGAACACAGAAAUGCAAAAUUGCUGGACAGGACUGGAAUGCAACAGCAAUAUGCAAUGUGUUUGGAUCAGAUCGAUUAGAAAGAGCUACAGCUACAAUAAGAUGCAGGAACACCAAAAUGCAAAAUUGCUGGACAGAACUGGAAUGAAAUAGCAGUAUGCAAUGUGUUUGGAUCAGAUCGAUUAGAAAAAGCUAUAGCUACAAUAUGAGAAUCCACACACGAACUUUGAAGUAUCACUGAAACAAUAGGGGAGAAGCCAAUGUCUCUCAAAUGGAAAGUUCACUGGAUAGCACAGAUUCCAUACAAGGGAACACAAACAACAGGAAAAGGACCACUUUCUCAAAAAUGCAAAAUUCUCUGGAAUGUGCAGAAUUUCAUAGCAAGAUAGCAAGAUGGAUGAUCAUCAACAUGUUACAAGUUUUAUUUUUUUCACCUUUUAAGACCUCCUGAAUAUUGUUUCUUUGUAUUUUUUUAUUUUUGAUUAUAUAAAAUAUAGCCCUAGGCAUUUGCCUAGUGGAUUAUUUAAAAAAAUGUAGUAAACUAUUCUGCACAUUUAAGUUAAUAGACCAGUUUUAUUAAACAUGGAAAACGAAGAGCAAAUGAAGGAAAUCAACACCUACAGCUAAAAGAAUACAGAAGACAAUCAAGGGGAGAAGAAGAUCACAUGCACAUGACAGAAACACAGCUACAACAAUCUUAUCAAUUGUGUCACUAAUUUCCAAAUUUUGAAAUAAAUUGUGUCACUAAUUUAUAGUUCAUUCUUUUCUCGAAUAAGUAUCAAAUUAGAUAUGAAACUACAGCAAUCAGUAACCAUAAGAUGGUAAAAUAUUGAAAUAGAACAGCACCAACCUGAGAUUGGAAAAAUUCCCGUUUCUCUAACUUUAUAAAUUUCUUCAAUCCGCAACGAGGAGGGCGAGAAGGUGCAAAACAAUACCUGAGAAAAGGGAAACGGAUUUGAAAACAAAAAAUAAGUAAAACGAGAAACAGAAUUCAUCGAUACUUUGAAAACAAAGAUUAAGUGAAAGGGGAAACAGAGUUCGUCGUUUGAGACGAUAUUGGGAAAACAAAAAUUAAGAGAAAGGAAUGGAAGAAGGUGCAGAAAUUAAGAGUAGCGGUGCAGAAAUUAAUACGGAAUCAGUAUCCACGAUUGAAGCCAAAACCCUAACUAAUGUAUCCACAGAGCUGUUAGCGAUGAAGAGAGAUCUUUUUGUCCUUUUGAAAUUGAAAAAAUAAUGUUUUACCUAGACUAUAUAGGAGGGCACA